GAAAACUGAAGUUAUUCAGGGUAAUUUGAUGGUGAUGAUUUCAGAAAUGUAGUUAGAAUUUGUCCAUCACUUCUAGAUUUUGAGUUUUUAUAAUAUCUCAAUAUUUUAUCGGCAGUAUG
Limulus polyphemus (Atlantic horseshoe crab) is the source of this 119-nucleotide long non-coding RNA. RefSeq lists it as uncharacterized. NCBI's taxonomy places the organism in Eukaryota, Metazoa, Arthropoda, Merostomata, Xiphosura, Limulidae. The record is from RefSeq and is a predicted model, not a curated record. The transcript has 3 exons.